Micropterus dolomieu (smallmouth bass) is the source of this 632-nucleotide long non-coding RNA. RefSeq lists it as uncharacterized. The record is from RefSeq and is a predicted model, not a curated record. The transcript is spliced from 3 exons. NCBI's taxonomy places the organism in Eukaryota, Metazoa, Chordata, Actinopteri, Centrarchiformes, Centrarchidae.
AAAUUCAUGACGAACUUUAAUAACUCUUUUCCCCAGCCACAGUGACCUACAGCCAACCUUCAGCCACCUUGCUCCAGGGCUCUGGUGAACUUGUGUGCCUGGUCUUCGGCUUCAGCCCUGCAUCUAUUAGCAUCACUUGGUUUUCUGGUAACACCAAGGAACUGUUGGACUACAACACUAGUGAACCCAUCAGAGGCCCAAAUGGAAAGUUCAGCAUCCAAAGCCACCUUCGUCUGUCCCAUGGCAACUGGUUCCCUGGGGCAGUCCUCACCUGCAGGGUGACACAUGAGAACACCACCCAAUCCCUGAAUAUAUCUAAACCAGGCACGUUGGAGGGCUGUCAUUUCUUAGAUGAGAUUAUGCAUGCUGAUGUGAACCAAGACACAGAUGUGGAAAGCUGGUAUAUGACUUUCACUUUCCUCUUUUUUUUCCUCAUCUCCGUCAUCUAUGGUGUCUUGGCUACUGUGAUUAAGACUAAAUGAUGAUGACCCCAGGACAGAUCCCAUUUUAUGAUCCAAAUGUGGACUUUUUUUAAAUUAAAUCUUUACUUUUUUUUAACUUUACAAGUUUUGAAUAGAACUGUAAUUAAUGCAUUCUUUCUUUUUUAUAUUUCUACUACAUUUUAUGGAAUU